CAUUAAGCCUCUAAAACAUCUCUAGAAUCUGUCUACUCUUCUCCAUCCCUAAGAGCACGGUGUUCGUGUGAGACAUCGGGAGAGCACACG
Vicugna pacos (alpaca) is the source of this 90-nucleotide non-coding RNA. The record is from RefSeq and is a predicted model, not a curated record. NCBI's taxonomy places the organism in Eukaryota, Metazoa, Chordata, Mammalia, Artiodactyla, Camelidae.